UACAGAUGGAGUUGUAGCGUGUGCU
This 25-nucleotide non-coding RNA is filed under the name Cricetulus griseus (Chinese hamster). Lineage: Eukaryota; Metazoa; Chordata; Mammalia; Rodentia; Cricetidae. The record is from RNAcentral.